This is a long non-coding RNA of Platichthys flesus (European flounder), 1982 nucleotides long. RefSeq lists it as uncharacterized. The record is from RefSeq and is a predicted model, not a curated record. The transcript is spliced from 2 exons. NCBI's taxonomy places the organism in Eukaryota, Metazoa, Chordata, Actinopteri, Pleuronectiformes, Pleuronectidae.
ACACCUUCCGCUUAGGGGUCAGGUGGAAACAUAGCGGAAAACCUCCAUAUGACUACAUGUAUAUCUGAUUAAAAUCUAAUAUAAAACAUAACGGAACAACGUUAUCAACGGUAAUGAUCCGAAACAAACCCGGACUCAAAUGGCAUGUGUCCAUUGACCUUCUGUGGUAAAAAUCUCAGUCCUGGAGACCACUAGAACCUAUCAGGAACCACCAGGAUCCAUUGGGAUCCAUCAGGACCCACCAGGACCCAUCAGGACCUAACAGGACCCACCAGGACCCAUCAGGACCUAACAGGACCCACCAGGAAACACAAGGACCUCAUUAGGACCGAUCAGGACCAAUCAGGACACACCAGGACCCACCAGGACCCACCAGGACCCAACAGGACCCACCAGGAAACACCAGGACCUCAUUAGGACCCAUCAGGAACCACCAUGACCCAUCAGGAACCACCAGGAACCGCCAGGACCUCAUAAGGACCGAUCAGGACCAAUCAGGACACACCAGGUCCUCAUUAGGACCCAUCAGGAUCCACCAGGACCCAUCAGGACCCAUCAGGACCCACCAGGACCUUAUUAGGACCCAUCAGGACCCAUCAGGACCCACCAGGAACCACCAAGGCCGUUGCUGGAACAACAACUCCCCUGAAGAGCGCUGCAGUGAGAUCCCAGCAGGACCCACCAGGACCCAGCAGAUUGCCUCUUCUCAUAGAGAAAAGUGCUGCACAGUAUGAAUGUGUGAAUGUUAAACUUUAUAGAGCUUGAGUGUCAUCAAGACAAGAAAAGAUCUUUAUAUAUACACAAGCACACACCCAUAUGUGCACACUCACACACACACACACACAAGGACACAAACAUACACACACAGCAGCUGUUGUCUCUUCACUGCGCAAAGACAAGGACAAUGUCCAGCUGCUCCAAAACAAUGCAGCUCUCCUCUGUCCUCAAACAUGGCAAACAUGACAUGUAUGUGACAUAUGAAUAUGCAGCAGCUGCUGGUGUCUGUCCAACAGAACCACAGAGAACACACGCAGACACACACUGAUCGAUACUUACUGUUAGACCCUAAAGGACCACUAGAACCUCCUAACUGUAGGAUCUGGUGGUCCUUAAAGUUCUAGUGGUCCUUAAGGAUCUAGGGUUUAGAGCGAAUCACAGCACAGAGACAGUGUUGCUGAAAGUCACUAACGACCUUCUAAUAGCUUCAGAUGUUUGUGUCUGUCCUCGUCCUGUUAGGUCUCAGUGCAGCAUUCAACACUAUCGACCUUUACAUUUUGUAACAGAGACUGGAACAGUUCAUUAACAUUAAAGGAACCGCCCUAAACUGGUUUAAAUCAUAUUCAUCAGAUUGAUUCCAAUUGUGCAAAUUAGUGAUGAGUCAUCUGUGUGCACCAAAGUUAAACACGGUGUUCCACAGGGUUCUGUGUUCGGCCCAAUCUUAUUAACGUUAUUUAUUCUUCCACUAGGAAACAUUAUCAGGAGACACUCAUUGCUAUGUGGAUGACAUCCAGUUAUACUUUCAUUAAAACCUGAACAGUGUCAUCAAUUAAUUAAACUUCUUGUUUCAAGGACAUAAAAACCUGGGUGAGCUGUAAACAGAGGUUCUAAAACAAUACAUACACAACAUGUCUCCUCACAUCUUCUACCAUCAGGACCUCCUCAGUUCAUCUGCUCCUUCAUCUCCAUCACACAUGAUGUAGAAACACUUUAAACAUGAAGACACAAACUGGUUCUCCUCAUGUAGUGAAUCCUGUUGUUGUGUUGUUGUGAUGUUGUGUUGUGUUCCAUCAGCAUGUGUGUGUCCUGGGAGAGGAUCCUCACAUGGGACUGAGCUUCAUCACUGAUCACUAAGUUUCUGUUUGACUAUUGUUGAGUUAAGAGCAGGAAGUUGAUCCUUGUUAACAUCUGUGAGACAAAAUUGGAUUUAUGAAUAUGACAUAUUAUGUUUGACGAUACCAAUAAAAUCUGAUUGAUGGUUGAAA